Long non-coding RNA from Ruditapes philippinarum (Manila clam), 1335 nucleotides. RefSeq lists it as uncharacterized. The transcript has 3 exons. Lineage: Eukaryota; Metazoa; Mollusca; Bivalvia; Venerida; Veneridae. The record is from RefSeq and is a predicted model, not a curated record.
UAGUAUGCUUGUUUCUUCUGCAUUAUCACGAACCAGUCACCUUUAUUAAAUCCGUGGCAUUAUCUUAUAUCCCAGGCAUUAUUAAUGCGAAAUGCUUUAUUACACAAACGGUAUCUAGGCAUAUUAUGUUUUUCAAAACAACCAAUCAGUUUAAAGCGUUGGUUUUGUAUCACGUGAAUCCUAUCAACCAAUCAGAAAUAGCGCGGGCGAAAUGAAAAAAGAAAAAAAAUCGCGAUUGGAAAUGGAUAUUAAAAAUGCAGAAUAUUGCAAAACAAGGACAGUGUACAGCGUGAUUGAAAUCUUCCAGAAAUGCAGCUGUGCCCUCCUUACAGCAAUUAUUGAUGAAGCAAAGUAUGGUAGCAAGUUACAUAGAUAUACACACGUGCCAAAGAGAUGGUAAUAUUUGGAGAAAACAUUUCCUACGUCACGAAAUAGACACCGUCAUACUGGUCUACGUAACAUUCCUAUAGAUGAUUGAUAUAUAGAACAGUGUUUGAAUGACGAAUUUCUGUGAAUACGGAAUUUUAAUUUUAAUGAUUAUUAUUAAAACUUUCUGCAAUAAUCCAUUUGUGCUAUGGACUCAUUUUCCUAAAAUAAUAUGUGAAUGUUAACACGAACAAAUGAUAUUAAUAUCUGUAAAAUGUUUUAUGGGUGUAAUAUAAGUGGCUCGAAAAAAAUCAUUGUUAAGAUAAAUAGAAAAGAACUUCAAGUUGGUAUAGUUUGUUCUAGAUUUAAAUAACAUGCAAUUCAUAAAGGUUACGGCUUGAAAAUAUCGAAAAAUGUUCUGCACUGUGAUACGUUUUGCAUGACUGUAUCGCAACAUAUCGGUAUAUCGCCAUUCCGUUGUAACGCUACAUUAAUCUGUUCCUAUAGAAUGAGGCUUACAACAAUAUAUGUCUGUUGUAGCGAAAACAUGUUUAUUUUGUUUAAUAUAUGUAUACACAUUGAAUAUAUGUUGAUGAAAUAAUAAAUAUUUAAGAGUGACUUGAUUUGGUUUUUACUUUAUUAUUUGAAAUACUCCAAUUGUGAAGAUAAAGUUCUUAAGCAUAUGAAUUAACAGUUCCCAUUCACCAUGUGUAAUCAAAUAUGUUCUAUUGUACAAACCUGCAUUUCGGUCAUUUAUACGUGUCACGUAUAUGAAAAUGCUUUUGAUAUCAUAUGUACCCUCUUUUAUCUCAAAAAUACAGUUCUGUAUACCAUGUGUACAACUCAAAAAUGCAAUUCCGUAUAUCCCCUGUAUAUAUUGAAAAAACGAUUCCGUAUAUCUACUGUAUAUGUAGGAAAUACGAUUCCGUAUAUCUACUGUAUAUGGAGAAUAUACGAUUCCGUAUAUUA